GAUGAAGAACGUAGUGAAAUGCGAUAAGUAAUGUGAAUUGCAGAAUUCAGUGAAUCAUCGAAUCUUUGAACGCACAUUGCGCCCCCUGGUAUUCCGGGGGCAUGCCUGUUCGAGCGUCAUUUCACCACUCAAGCCUCGCUUGGUAUUGGGCAACGCGGUCCGCCGCGUGCCUCAAAUCGACCGGCUGGGUCUUCUGUCCCCUAAGCGUUGUGGAAACUAUUCGCUAAAGGGUGUUCGGGAGGCUACGCCGUAAAACAACCCCAUUUCUAAGGUUGACCUCGGAUCAGGUAGGGAUACCCGCUGAACUUAAGCAUAUCAAUAAGCGGAGGA
Molecule: unclassified non-coding RNA, 330 nt
Filed under: soil metagenome
Description: partial contains 5.8S ribosomal RNA, internal transcribed spacer 2, and large subunit ribosomal RNA
Rfam family: 5.8S ribosomal RNA (bases 1-119)
Source: RNAcentral